UUCUUAUCGAGAGUGGUGGAGGGACUGACCCUGUGAAACCCGGCAACCUGCCUUAAAAGGUGUGGUGCUAAAUUCAGAGCUAAAAAAGCGAAGAUAAGAG
Molecule: non-coding RNA, 100 nt
Filed under: Ilyobacter polytropus
Lineage: Bacteria; Fusobacteriati; Fusobacteriota; Fusobacteriia; Fusobacteriales; Fusobacteriaceae
Also listed under: 1 other name
Description: SAM-I sequence
Rfam family: SAM riboswitch aptamer (S box leader)
About the family: The SAM riboswitch is found upstream of a number of genes which code for proteins involved in methionine or cysteine biosynthesis in Gram-positive bacteria. The SAM riboswitch acts at the level of transcription termination control.
Source: RNAcentral